GCAUCGAAUAAUGCUGGGGUUGAUUCUGUAGCUCGAAGAUUGAACGCUGGCGGGAUGCUUUACACAUGCAAGUCGAACGGCAGCACGGACUUCCCGGUCCUGGUGGCGAGUGGCGAACGGGUGAGUAAUGUCGGAACGUGCGCCUAGUAGCGGUAACUACGCAGCGUAGCUAAUACCAUACGCCCGCUCAGGGGAAAGCGGGGGACCUUCGACCUCUGCUAUGAAGCGGCCGAUAUCGGAUUAGCUAGUUGGUGGGGUAACGGCUCACGCAAGGCGACGAUCCCGUAGCUGGUUUGAGAGGACGACCAGCCACACUGGGACUGGGGUACGGCCCAGACUCGAGGCGGCGGUGAGAAUUUUGGACAAUGGGGAAACCUGAUCAGCCAUCCGCGUGUGCGAUGAAGGCCUUCGGGUUGUAAAGCACUUUGGCAGGAAAGAAGCAGCACGGGAUAAUACCCCGUGCAGCUGACAGAAAACACCUGCGAAUAAGCACCGGCCAGCAACUACGUGCCAGCAACCGCGGUAAUACGUAGGGUGCAAGCGUUAAUCAGGAAUUACUGGGCGUAAAGCGUGCGCGGCGGUUCGGAGAAGAAAGAUGUGAAAUCCCAGAGCUUAACUUUGGAACUGCAUUUUAACUACCGAGAGCUAGAGGGUGUGUCAGAGGUGGAAUUCGCGUGUAAACGAUGAAAUGCGUAGAUAUGCGGAGGAACACCGACGAAGGCAGCCUCUGGGAUAACACUGACGCUCAUGCACGAAAGCGUGGGGAGCAAACAGGAUUAGAUGCCCUGGUAGUCCCGCCCUAAACGAUGUCAACUAGCUGUUGGGGCCUUCGGGCCUUGGUAGCGCAACUAACGCGUGAAGUUGACCGCCUGGGGAGUACGGUCGCAAGAUUAAAACUCAAAGGAAUUGACGGGGACCCGCACAAGCGGUGGAUGAUGUGGAUUAAUUCGAUGCAACAUGAAAAACCUUACCUACCCUUCGACAUGUCUGGAAUCGAGAGAUUUGGGAGUGCUCGCAAGAGAACCGGAACACGGAGUGCUGCAUGGCUGUCGUCAGCUCGUGUCGUGAGAUGUUGGGUUAAAGUCCCGCAACGAGCGCAACCGCAUCCGUUAGUUGCUGCAGGCACUCUAAUGGACUGCCGGUGACAAACCGGAGGAAGGUGGGGAUGACGUCAAGUCCUCGUAACCCUUAUGGGUAGGAACUUCACCGUCAUACAAUGGUCAGGACAGAGGUCGCCAACCGAGGAGCCAGAAACCCGAUCGUAGUCCGGAUCACCCAGUCUGCAACUCGACUGCGUGAAGUCAGGAAUCGCUAGUAAUCGCGGAUCAGCAUGUCGCGGUGAAUACGUUCCGGGUCUUGUACACACCGCCCGUCACCAUGGGAGUGGGUUUACCAGAAGUAGUUAGCUAACUGCACGUAAGGGCGAUUACCACGGUAGGAUUCAUGACUGGGGUGAAGUCGUAGCUGGGUAG
Molecule: ribosomal RNA, 1472 nt
Filed under: uncultured Bordetella sp.
Lineage: Bacteria; Pseudomonadati; Pseudomonadota; Betaproteobacteria; Burkholderiales; Alcaligenaceae
Description: partial 16S-23S ribosomal RNA intergenic spacer
Rfam family: Bacterial small subunit ribosomal RNA
Source: RNAcentral